Macrosteles quadrilineatus (aster leafhopper) is the source of this 391-nucleotide long non-coding RNA. RefSeq lists it as uncharacterized. The record is from RefSeq and is a predicted model, not a curated record. Lineage: Eukaryota; Metazoa; Arthropoda; Insecta; Hemiptera; Cicadellidae. The transcript has 3 exons.
UUACACUUUCAACACUGACUAAACUGUGCACGACCACCAUGCUCUCAGCGAUUCGCAAAUUUGCUACUUCUGCAAUCAGAAGAGAAGCUGCGCAAGGAGGGGUUCCUGGAGCGACUUUACCCUUCAGGACUGACAACCCCUACAGGACUACCCUUAUUUUCUUAGCCUUCUUCGGGUCAGCUUCAUGGUUACCUUUCAUGAUGCUGAGGUUCCAACUGCAAAAAUAACCCAUAUCUUCGUUAUCUUAUGAGAGUGGACAAUUUUGCUAUCUUUACACAAAGGAGAUCGCCUGGACAGCUUAAACAAGUCUACAACUAUUGUUGCAAUUUAACAAAACAUGUCAUUGACUUUACUGAAAUAAAGCUUUUCAGGCAUGACAUUAUAUUCUAAA